Molecule: ribosomal RNA, 481 nt
Filed under: Streptococcus sanguinis
Lineage: Bacteria; Bacillati; Bacillota; Bacilli; Lactobacillales; Streptococcaceae
Description: bacterial SSU rRNA
Rfam family: Bacterial small subunit ribosomal RNA
Source: RNAcentral
GACGAACGCUGGCGGCGUGCCUAAUACAUGCAAGUAGAACGCUGAAGAGAAGAGCUUGCUCUUCUUGGAUGAGUUGCGAACGGGUGAGUAACGCGUAGGUAACCUGCCUGGUAGCGGGGGAUAACUAUUGGAAACGAUAGCUAAUACCGCAUAAAAUUGAUUAUUGCAUGAUAAUUAAUUGAAAGAUGCAAUUGCAUCACUACCAGAUGGACCUGCGUUGUAUUAGCUAGUUGGUGAGGUAACGGCUCACCAAGGCGACGAUACAUAGCCGACCUGAGAGGGUGAUCGGCCACACUGGGACUGAGACACGGCCCAGACUCCUACGGGAGGCAGCAGUAGGGAAUCUUCGGCAAUGGGGGGAACCCUGACCGAGCAACGCCGCGUGAGUGAAGAAGGUUUUCGGAUCGUAAAGCUCUGUUGUAAGAGAAGAACGGGUGUGAGAGUGGAAAGUUCACACUGUGACGGUAUCUUACCAGAAAGG